CGUUAAUGUUUACUGUUAACGGGUGGCAGCUUAGACUGUCAGCCCUUAUUACCUUGGGUUUUAAUAACCCCCUGAGGGGUUGGUGCUAACUGUGUUGAGCCUGAGAGCUGCUGGGCUCUGAGUUGAGGACGCGGAGCUGCUGACGCUGAUGCUUGCUGCUGGGCCACUGUUGCGGCUGCACUGAAGGCCUCGUCUGUGUUAGCACGCCCCCGGGCCCGGGCUCCCAGCUGUGAGGUUCCCAAGACUCACUGGGGCGAAGAGAAGGAACCCGGGUCUCAGACAGCUCUGCUCUGCGUCUCCGUCUGGCCUCCAUGUGGAACGGGGCACUCAGUCUUCCACCUCAGACGCUGCCUGCCGCUGACCAGCCUGGGAU
This is a long non-coding RNA of Bos taurus (domestic cattle), 373 nucleotides long. Lineage: Eukaryota; Metazoa; Chordata; Mammalia; Artiodactyla; Bovidae. The record is from Ensembl.